UUCCUGUGUUUCCUCAAAUAGCGCCCUUACAAGAUGAGCCCCUUCCCCCGCUGAGUUCUUCAGCCUCCCUCCCCCUCAGAAAGGUUACAGCCCCUCACCAUGCUUCAAUGAACAGUCUUCUGUUGAGAACCAGUCUGGUCUGCUUUUCUCUUUCACUUUCCUGACAACUGUUAGUGCUAUUUUAGUUUUUUGAGACAAAAUCUCAGUUUGUAGCUCAGUGUUGUGUUAACUUUUCUAGGAAGAUGCGAACAUCUGCUCAACCCAUGUAGGAUAUUAAUGAGCUACCAAAUUAAGUAUCCACCGAAGUCUAACUGGGAGCAUGAGUUUACUGGGCUUCCUUAUGGAGAUUGUGAGUAAAGUGUUACUGACAGGACCGUAGAUGACUCCACGAAAGCACCAUCGCCCACCACGUCUCCACCGCCUCCUGGAGGAGAACCUUCUUGAAGCUCUAUCAUGAAGCUCCCUGUACUUUUGCACACUGUGCAUGAAUAGAAGAGUCUCUUCACCCAGCAAAUGCCACUGUUGGGGCCCUUUGAAUCUGAUGGAAUGAAGCAGAAAUGUUAGGUUAUAGCAGCCAUCUUACAGCCAUGAAGUUGAAGGAUACAAGGUGGAGAGGUUGGCAAUCAGAUCCAUCAGAGAAUGUGGAUAAAGAAGCAAAAGGCUGGGCUGGAGAGACGGCUCUGCAGUUAAGGUGGUUGAUUGCAGUCUAAUGACCUGGAUUUGAGUCCCCAGUACCCA
Long non-coding RNA from Jaculus jaculus (lesser Egyptian jerboa), 738 nucleotides. RefSeq lists it as uncharacterized. The record is from RefSeq and is a predicted model, not a curated record. NCBI's taxonomy places the organism in Eukaryota, Metazoa, Chordata, Mammalia, Rodentia, Dipodidae. The transcript is spliced from 3 exons.